GAUGAACGCUGGCGGCGUGCCUAAUACAUGCAAGUCGAGCGAACAGACGAGGAGCUUGCUCGUCUCACGUUAGCGGCGGGCGUGUGAGUAACACGUGUAUAACCUCCCUAUAAUUCUGGGAACACUUCGGGAAACCGGCGCUAAUACCGUAUAAUAUCUUGAACCGCAUGGUUGAAUGGUGAAAUACGGUUUUGCUGUCUCUUCUCGCUGCUUCCGCGCCGCAUUAGCUAGUUGUUAAGGUAACGGCUUAUCAAGGCGACGAUGCGUAGCCGACCUGAGAGAGUGGUCGGCGGCAUGGGAACUGGACCACGGACAAGGCGCCUGAGAGAGGCAGCAGUAGCGUACCUGAGGCAAUGGGCGAGAGCCUGACGGAGCGAGGGGGCGUGAGUGGUGGAGGUCUUCGGAUCGUGAAACUCGGUUACGAGGGAUAAACAAAUGUGUAAGUAAAUGUGCACGGCUUGACGGUAACUGAUAAGAAAGCAACGGCUAACUACGUG
This 497-nucleotide ribosomal RNA is filed under the name uncultured bacterium. RNAcentral describes it as "partial 16S ribosomal RNA". It matches the Rfam family "Bacterial small subunit ribosomal RNA", at positions 28 to 507 of the family's 1533-position model. The record is from RNAcentral.